Brienomyrus brachyistius is the source of this 631-nucleotide long non-coding RNA. RefSeq lists it as uncharacterized. The record is from RefSeq and is a predicted model, not a curated record. Lineage: Eukaryota; Metazoa; Chordata; Actinopteri; Osteoglossiformes; Mormyridae. The transcript has 3 exons.
CCCAGGACACUGGAAAAUACUUGAAAAACAUGGAUGUUCCUUGACAGAUUGGUUCUGUGGACUGUGGUGUGUUCAUGUUGAUUGUUGUCACGUCACGGAUCGGGGAAGCAGGAGCAGGAAGACGGAGAAUCGGGAAACAAAGGAUUUAUUGGGGAAACCAGCUAGGAACACGGAACAAUAGAAGUAGCGACUUAAAUGACAUGAUUGGGGAAACAUAUUUUGAAGCGGAGUUAAAUACAUAGGACUAAUGAAAACAACUGGAAACAGCGAAUGACAUCGGGGUUCCACACGAGGUUAACGAGGGGGCGUGGCACACGGGAGGAGCGGACAAGCGGCGCAUGACAAUUGUAAGACAGACCACCUUGAAUUGUUGGACUUGUAAUACAGAGAAUGUAUUGAAGUAUUCCCCCCUCCCCUCCCUUUUAUCAGUAUGCACUCUGCAUGGCCUUGGUGUGUCUUGAGUAUUACAAAAUGCACCAUGAACUGUCUAUAUUAUAUGUCUAUAUUAUAUUUUUAUUUAUGUCAUAAUAUGUGAAUUUGAUCUGUUGUUUUUCAGUGAGUUGCAGGGAUUUGACAAAAACAUCCUUUUAGAAAUGCGUGAGGAAGGUCAAGACUCUGGUCUCCAGCUCAC